UACGAAGGGGGCAAGCGUUACUCGGAAUUACUGGGCGUAAAGGGUGCGUAGGUGGUUGUUUAAGUCUGCUGUGAAAGCCCCGGGCUCAACCUGGGAAUGGCAGUGGAUACUGGACAGCUAGAGUGCGGUAGAGGGUAGUGGAAUUCCCGGUGUAGCAGUGAAAUGCGUAGAGAUCGGGAGGAACACCAGUGGCGAAGGCGGCUACCUGGACCAGCACUGACACUGAAGCACGAAAGCGUGGGGAGCAAACAGG
This 253-nucleotide ribosomal RNA is filed under the name uncultured bacterium. RNAcentral describes it as "partial 16S ribosomal RNA". It matches the Rfam family "Bacterial small subunit ribosomal RNA", at positions 524 to 776 of the family's 1533-position model. The record is from RNAcentral.